AAGGGAWUCCCCCASWAGCGGCGAGCGAAAAGGGAUCAGCCCAAAGCCAAAUCCCGUGUCCUCUGGGCAUCGGGAAAUGUGGCGUAUGGGAGGCGGAACUUUCCGGGCGUUGAAGGCGACUCAAGUCCCCAUGAAUGGGGCUACGACCGAAGUGGGUGCGAGUCCCGUUCAGUCGCUCUUCUCGCACGGAGUCUCCGUUUUCCCGGGAGUCGGGUUGCUUGAAAGUGCAGCCCAAAGUGGGUGGUAUGCUCCACCUAAGGCUAAAUAUCCCCGAGAGACCGAUAGCAAAAAAGUACCGUGAGGGAAAGUUGAAAAGAACUUUGAAGAGAGAGUUCAAUAGUACGUGAAACCGCUUAGAGGGAAACGGGUGGGCCCUCGAAGUCUGAAGGCAGAGAGAUUCAGUACGGGCGCUAUCGAGUUUGGGCGGGAUUCCUUAGGCGCACACAAACGAGUCGGUGUCGCCUUAGGGUCCUAGAUCCUAKUCGCCCGUGCGCAAUUCUGUUCUGUCGGUAAGAGGCCGCGACUGGUUGGUCGACUGUUGGAAUUUUAGCUUUGGAGUAAGGUAGCCGACCGCGCCUCGCGUGCGGUAGGUGUUACAGCCYGARUGCGACGCCCAACGGUCGCGCCGACUCAGGACGAGAGAAACCUCGAUAAGCGUUCCCUUCGAGUGAAGUCGGGGAUUCAUGGUGAGGAAGGUUAACUGUUCGGACCCACCCACGUGGUGGCCCGCUUAGCGCCUUUUCGCCACUGAUCCCCCCGGCCAUGGGAGCUUGAGGUCGGCGGUCAGUAGAUCGGGUCCCACCCGACCCGUCU
This 813-nucleotide ribosomal RNA is filed under the name Tyrannochthonius sp. P7. Its description in RNAcentral is "partial large subunit ribosomal RNA". Lineage: Eukaryota; Metazoa; Arthropoda; Arachnida; Pseudoscorpiones; Chthoniidae. The record is from RNAcentral.